ACCAAAUCCUAAUCCUAAUCAAAUCCUAAUCAAUUUUUUAAAUUUCAAACAAAUUUUUAACAACCUUACAACAGAUUUUGAAAUUCAAAUACUAAUGUUUGAACUCUUAAUUUCAACUCAAAUUUUACACAUUUUUCACUAAUUAAGUUAAUAAUAAGCAUAAAAAAAUUAAAAAAUAUCAAAAUUACCAAAUAGAUGAUAAUCUCAAAAAUGAGCUUGAAUAUCGACUGACCUCCUUCUCUGAUCUUAAUGCCAAUCUUUCAAAGCCAAUUAUUCCUAAUUGAACUAUUACUUUGCUUUCAAACUUUACAUACUUAUUAGAAAUUAAAUUGACUACUUUUAUCAGAAAAACUUGCUUUAAUGUAACUAGCAAAUUCAUAGAUAU
RNAcentral lists this long non-coding RNA (385 nucleotides) under Physcomitrium patens. RNAcentral's name for it is "long non-coding RNA (PPAT_LNC012444)". The record is from RNAcentral. Lineage: Eukaryota; Viridiplantae; Streptophyta; Bryopsida; Funariales; Funariaceae.